This is a non-coding RNA of Oryctolagus cuniculus (rabbit), 12458 nucleotides long. The record is from RefSeq and is a predicted model, not a curated record. Lineage: Eukaryota; Metazoa; Chordata; Mammalia; Lagomorpha; Leporidae.
AUAUAAAUAUAUAAAUAAAUUGCUGCAUCCUAUAUCAGUGCUAUUUCUAGAUUUUUAAGAAAUAUCCAUACUGUUUUCCAUAGUGGCUGUACUAACUAACAUUCCUACCAACGAUGUAUAAGAAUUCCCCUUUCUCCACAUCCUCACCAGCAUUUGUUAUUUUUGCUUUUUGAUAAUAACCAUCAUUAUCAAAAUUAUUGUGAGAAGGCAUCUCAUUGAAGUUUUGAUUUGCAUCUCCCUGAUGGCUAGUGAUAUUGAGCAUCUUUUUACAUACUUGUUGGCCAUUUGAAUUUCUUCUUUUGAGAACUGUCUGUUCAGGUGUUUUGCCCAUUUCUUAACUGGAUUGGUUGUUUUAUUAUAAGGCUUCUUUUUUUUUUAAUGUGUUUUCAAUUUGUUUCUUCUGAUUUUCAGUCUCUUUCUCCUUCUCUCCUUUUUAAAGUGUUUUUGUUUUCCUGGGAGUUUAGCUUAGAAAAAGAAAACAAUUCCAAAUUGAUUUAUUUCUUUGCUGAGAUUUUCUACAUUUGUGUUUGCAGUUGUUGAGUAUUUUAUGACCAUUGCUUUUAAAUCCAUGUCAGAUGAUUCUAGUACCUGACUCGACUCAUGUUGGUGUCAGCUGAUUGUCUUUUCCACUGAAGUUGUGUUUGUCUCUGUUCUUGGUAUGACAGGUUGUGUUUUUAUUGUGUCUUGGACAUUGUGUCUAUUUUCUACAUCUCCUAUUUUGUCAGGCGAGUACCCUGUUGAGGUUUUUGCAAGCAGGUCUUGUUCCAGUUUUGUAGACUGUGUCUCCAGAGGCAGUUGAAUUUUCAGGGCCUUUGUUCUACUGUUUGGUUUGCUUGCUUUGUCUGGAGGCAUUGGAGCUUUCCCUGGUGCCCGCUGGUGCUGGCUGAGGAAGGUGGAGACUCUGGAAGGGCCCAUGGGACCAUAGAGGCUUCCUGGUUGGGCCACUUGUCGUAGGUGCACCUCUCCUGGCCAUCCUAGUACCUCCUACUAGCCUUGGCAUCUUCCAGCAGGGGAGUACAGACCCCACCUGGCAGGAAAUAGGGCUGUGCCCAUGCACUUGUUGUUUGCUGGAAGGAGUUCCAGCUCCCUUUCUCUUCCUUUGGUAUCAGAAUGGAGCCAGAGAGAUGUUUUCAGAUGGAAACCUGUUGAUCUGGGGAAGGAAUGAGGCUACACAGCUGCCUUCUAUUGCCAGAUAAGGAGUCAGAAAACACCAUUGUGAGUCGCUUUUUCUGCCCUUCCCCUGUGCUGUUGCUCUGUACGGGCUCCCAAACAAGAUUACCUUCUUCUUACCACCUUUCGGAGUUCUCAUUUGGCUAUCUCUUGAGUGACUUCCAGGCUUUAGAAUGAGUUGUACUUAUUGAGAAUGAACAAGGAGAAGCAGGUCUCCAUCCUCUGUAUAGACUAAGUGGAGUCAGCUUCUAAAAGUGGAACGGCCUUUAGCUCUCAAAUGCCUUCUCAUUGUGUUUAUAAACCUAGUCCUUGCAGGGGUCAUGGUCACUGUAAGGGGUGAUAAUGAUUCCACUGAAUGGAAUUAAGAAUUGAAGACAAGUCAAUAGCAAAAUCACAGAAGACUAGUCACAGACAACGAAUGAACAAGGGGAAAGAUGCCUGAUCUUAGCAGUCAUCAUCACAUGCCAAGUAAAAUGACAAGCAUAAAUCACUUUUCAGGCAGCAGAUAGAAAAAGGUUGAAAGUUUGAUCAAAUUAAAUGGGAAAAUAAGUAUUGUCCUAUGUCAUUGAUAGGAUGUGAAUGGGCACAACCUUUUCGAACAGUCAUCCAGCAUUAGCUACUAAGAGUUUUUAGAAUGCACACAUGUUCUUUGGCUCAGCAGUACCACGUGCAAGAGUCUUCCCUAAUGGAACAAAUGCAGAGUUUCAUUUAUAUACACAAUGACAUCUACUACGCCAUCAUCUGUUGUGAUGAAGUCUAGAAGUAACCCACAUGCCCAUCCACUAUUGACUGACUAAUCUAUGGCUCAUGCAAUGUGAGGGAGAAUUUUUUUUUUUUUUUUGACAGGCAGAGUGGACAGUGAGAAAGAGAGACAGAAAGGUCUUCCUUUUCUGUUGGUUCAUCCCCCAAUGGCCACUGCGGCCAGUGCGCUGCAGCCGGCGUACCACGAUGAUCUGAACCCAGGAGCCAGGUGCUUCUCCUGGUCUCCCAUGUGGGUGCAGGGCUCAAGCACUUGGACCAUCCUCCACUGCACUCCUAGGCCACAGCAGAGAGCUGGACUGGAAGAGGGGCAACCGGGACAGAAUCCGGCGCCACAGGCAGAGGAUUAAUUAGCCUAUUGAGCCACAGCGCCGGCAAGAACUUUCUUUAAAAAAAAAAAAAAAAGAUUAAUUGAUUGAGUUGAAAGGCAGAGUGACAAUGAGAGGGAGAGAAAGAGAGAGAUUGAGAUUCAUUCUGGUUCAUUUCCCAAAUGGGCUGAGGCUGCUCCAGGCAGAGGCCAGGAAUGUGGAACUCCAUCCAGGUGUCCUACCCCUUUGGGUGGGUGGGUGGCAGGGGCCCAAGAACAUGAACCGGCUGGCACCAUGGCUCACUAGGCUAAUCCUCCGCCUUGCGGCACCAGCACACCAGGAGAAGUACCUGGCUCCUGCCAUCGGAUCAGCACGGUGCGCCAGCCGCAGCGCACCGGCCAAGGCGGCCAUUGGAGGGUGAACCAACGGCAAAGGAAGACCUUUCUCUCUGUUUCUCUCUCUCACUGUCCACUCUGCCCGUCAAAAAAAAAAAAAAAAUCCAGGAACAUGAACCAUCACUUGCUGCCUUCCCAGGUGCAUUAGCAGGGAGCCGAAUCAGAAAUGGAGCAGCUGGGGCUCAAGGUGGGCCGAUACAGCAUACCAAUGUUACAAGCGAUUGCUUAGCCCACUGUGCCACAAUGCCAGCCCCUGCGAGGGAGAACUGUCUAUAAACACCAGUCUUCCAAGGGUGGAGUGAUAGGGCAGUAAGCUCCUUGUACUAGAAUGUUCCGUCAGAGGCCUUAAGAAAUGCCACUUUGGGAAUUCUCAUGGAGGCAAGACAUCUGUUUGCAUUGUUUCCUCCUGACUGUAUGAUUCUAUGGUUCUUUUUUUUUUCUUUUAAAUAUUUAUUUAUUUAUUUGAAAGUCAGAGUUACACAGAGAGAGAAGGAGAGGUAGAACAAGAGAGAGAGGUCUUCCUUCCGUUGGUUCACUACCCAAAUGGCCGCAACUGCGGGAGCUGCGCCAAUCCGAAGCCAGGAGCUUCUUCUAAGUCUCCCAUGUGGGUGCAGGGGCCCAAGCACUUGGGCCAUCCUCCACUGCUUUCCCAGGCCAUAGCAGAGAGCUGGAUUGGAAGUGGAACAGCCGGGACUCAAACCGGCACCCAUAUGGGAUGCCGGCUCUGCAGGCAGUGGCUUAACCCGCUAUGCCACAGCGCCAGCCCCAUCUAUGGUUCUAUAAAUUGGCCACGGUGACCCUCUUACAGUAAAGAAAGCAGAGGGAGAGGAGCAAGGUCUCUGGCCCCUCCUUAUCUGCUCUCCUGCUUUGGUACUGAGUCUUUAAGAGUGGGUAUACAGGUGUGGGAUAUUUUCAUGAGCGCACCUACAGAGGCCACAGGCUGAAGCUGUUUUGUUUAGAUACUUAAUAAGUGAAGACAAAUGGUUGUUGGUUUCUCCAUCCCUAAUUGUUCGAACAAGAUUCCUGUUUCAGAAAAUGCCUCCUUUAUAUUCAUAGUCACUAGCGGAAAGUGACUAAUUUGUGACUGGGCAGGAACACAGCGUCAAAGACCCUGAGCAUAUGGGUAAGUGACUCUGUGUGUGUCUAAGAUCGAUGGAGCCUGACGCCUGCUCCUUUGCCAGGAGCGUGGGCCGGCAUAAAUGCACUCGGGAAGGGGAGGACGGCGGCUCAUUAGGGACUGGGCUGGGAGUGGCGGGACGCCUGCAUCUCUCUCCAUUAGCAGCUUGCAAACUGUGACACUUCCUCAGAGGUGCUUCGGGGGCUCAGCACGCACUUGUUCGGAGCAUUUAAAAUAUGCUUAAAUAAUUGCUUUCAAAACUAAUUAAAAACUAACCAGAAAACCCAUCCAAAUGUAGUAUAUGUCAUACGUGAACACCGUCGAAAUGCCCAACUUACCAAUAUUCAGUCUUGUGAAUUGGCUGUUUAGUAAAUACAAUGAAUGCUGAAACAGAAGUUUGUGUAGAAAAUACUGCUUUGCCUGUUUUUCUUUUUAAUUCAUGAUUUUUAUAUUGUGGCUUCCUUUGGGGGAAAAAAAGAAAUUAUGCUAAAAAUUUUUGCUAGCCACUGCCUCCAAAUCACAAGAAAAAACAGAAAAGUGAAAUUAAAAUGACGAUAGCCUGAGAAAUUCUAUUAGAAUUGAUAUAGACAACCCAAGACUGGUCAGAGGCAUUGCUGUAGAACUCCCAAAACUGGACCCAUGUGCCCAGCAUGCAGAAAACCAAUCACUGAAUCAAGGCAGUGAAGAAAGGAGGUGUUCAUUGCAAAGCGCAGAGUGAGGAGCAGGGCAGCUAUGGCUAAUUCCCAGGCUCCCACAGGGGUUAGGAGUAAAUGCUUUGUGAAUCGAAGCUGAGAUAAGAGAUAUGCGUUCAGCAUGUAUCCAGGUUCCUGGUUAGUUGUUGGAACCCAUAGCCUGCCUUUGAUUGGCUGGCAGUGUGUGUUCUUCAGAGAAUUUUUAUGAUGAUAGAGUAGGUGUCUUUCAUCUAGGGGCUACAUGCAGGUGGUAGCUAUUUUCUGUCCCAGAUCUGGAAUUCUCUAAAGGAAACCCCUGGAGACAUGACUGACCCCCCCCCCCCAAGAUGUCAUCUGUUCGAGAAGCAACAACCUCAUGGGUCCAGUGAUUAAAACCUUGCAGGAACAGGUGCACCUGUUAAUGCUCAUAAGUGAUUUGCUAUCAAAGGGCAGGGCAAGAACACUUCAAGCUUCCGGAGGGAGGCUAGGAGACUAGGCUUGGUGGUAUGUGGGGACUGCCUUCUAGGCACUCUUUAGGGGUUCAGUGUCUGAAUAGUUAGCCUAUCUCCCGCACCGCUAAUACUCUCAUACUCUUCACAUGCUCCCCUUAACAAGCUCUUUACUCCACAUUCAAGCAUAUAAAUGCUCUAAAACACCAUGCCCUCCUUCCCUCAUUCUUAUUUUCUAUAGUCUUUUUGGAGGAAGAGUGGCGUUAGGAGUUGGAUUUGGUUGAAUUUUGGUGAUAAGCUUUAAUGUGAUGAUUUGUGUGAUAGUUUCUUUUCAAAGGAGGGACUCUCAAAAUGCUCGAUUUAUUUUUCUAUUGCAAACAUAUUUUGAAGAAUUAAAUAGGCUGGGAAAUUUUCCAGGGUCUGGAACACAGGGUCUGGAGGUUAAGCAUGUAGGUUCAAAUUUUAAAUCUGCCUUCUUUAAGUAAAGCUUAACAUGGGCACAUUUCUAAGCUUUAUCUUGGAUUCCCUUUGUGUAAGAUGGAGAUGAUAAUAGUAUUGCCACCAUAGAGUUCUCGUAAGGGCCAAAGAAACCAAUAUGUGUAAAAUAUUUAGCAUGGGGCCUCACACACAAUGAGCAUCCCAAAAACAUUACUGGAAUUUUAUUUCAUUUUCACACAAUUUUUUGCCCAAAUUUACCAUAGGAACUGUUAAGUACCAAACAGAAAAAUUAAAAUUAAGAGCAAGGCUGGAAGUAAAACGGAGAUACAACAUGAACGUCCAUUUAUGCCAAUACUUAUAUAUAAAAAAAAAACUUUGCCUUUAUAUUUGAUUCUUCAGUAAAUCUGUGCUAUCUCCCUAAAUGGGAACCCGUUUCUGAGACACGAAGACUCCAAACAGCAAAAGGUGAUGGUAGAGGGGGUGGCUAGAAAUAAGGGCAUUUAAGUUCAGUACCCUUUCUCCCAUGGUGUUCCCAUGUUGUGGUUGUGUCAACAAUAAUAGUACGGGAUUUAGGCAAAUAUGGGAGAUAGGCAUUGAGACACAGGCAUAGAACCUGGGCCUCUCCAGAGCUUGUUUUUUAUAGGAUGUUUCACAAGAGCUUAUUUUGCAACCUUGUUCCCAGAGAGGGUCCAGACCACUACAAACAAGGCAUAGUUGAAGCUGCAAGAAACCAAUUUGAGGAACCAGUGUUGGUACAGUGGGUACAGCUGCUGCCUGCGACACCAGCAUCCCAUAUGGGCACCAGUUCAAAUUCCAGCUGCUCUGCUUCCAAUCCAGCUCCCUGCUAAUGGCCUGGGAAAGCACUAAAAGAUGACCCAAGUGUCUGGGCUCCUGCCGCCCAUGUGGGAGAUGUGGAAGAAAUUCCUGGCUUCAGCCUGGUGCAGCCCUGGCCAUUGUGGCCAUGUGGGCAGUGAAUCAGAAAACGAAAGGUCUCUCUCUCUCUCUCUCUCUUUCUCUUUCUCUCUAAUCUCUCUCUCUCUCUGUCUCCAACACUUUCAAGUAAAUACAUCUCUUAGAAACAAACAAACCAGUUGGAGUCAGAGCUUUAUGACCUAAGCGGAACUUUGCCCAUUAUAGAAUACUAACUUCUCCACCUGGCAGAGAAAUUUGCUACCACGUGUUGAAGACACAAAGUACGAAGGUGCAGGUUGCUUGCAGAAUCAAAAAGAAGAUGAAUUCGAGCAGACAUGUAAACAAAGAGAAAUUGAAAUUGACAACUCACCUCGGGUGACAUUGGAGCUGGCAGCCUGUUGGGGUCUGAUGAGAUUGGGAAGGCUCAUGUGGUGAUCGGGACCACCUAUCCUCUCCAUCUGCCUUUCUGGGGGCCAUCGUGGAGGACAUUGGAUCUGUACUUCCUAAGCCUCAGUCCCUCGAACUCUAAUAUCUGGAAGUCCAGUCUCCAUCUGGCAGGCUUAGAGGUACCGUUUUGGCAGUCUGCUUGCUGUAACAAUGUGUAUCUGAGUGACGAAGCUGCCGACCACCGUGACUGUCUUGUCAGCACCCGUGAGCAGCUGGACAGUUUGGCCUGCUCUGAGCAUUCCAUAUCAGUGCAACCAUCUCCUCCGGGGGUUUCGUGACUGGCUGCAGGUAACACUUUGGUAGUCUUCAGGUGGACUCUGAAGAGUAGAUAGUGCAGUACCUUAGAAAAAAAUACACCUUGAGGGAGACAGCUGUCCCAGCAGUUAAGAUGCCAACUGAGAUGUCCGUGUCCCAUAUCAGUGUGCCUAGGUUCAAGUCCCAGCUCCGUUUCUGAUUCCAGCUUCCUGCUACUGCACACCCUGGGAUCAGUGGGUGAUAACUCAGGAACUUGUGUCCCUGCCACACGUAGGGGAGACCUGGACUGAGUUGCAACUCUGGGAUUUGGGCUGAUCCAGCCCCAGCUGUUGUGGGCUACUACCCCAAAUGGCUACAACAGCCAAGGCUGUGCCAGGCUGAAGGCAGGAGCCAGGAACUCCAUCCUGAUCUCUCACAUGGUAGACAGGGGCUGAAGUACUUGGGCCAUCAUCUACUCCCUGCCCAGGCACAUUAGAAGGAAGAUGAAUUGGAAGUAGAACAACUGGGACUUCAACCAGCCUGGCACUCUGAUGGGGUUGUCGGUAUGUAAGUGUGCCUUGAUCCAGUAUGCUGCAACACUGGCCUCCCCUCCCCCACCCUGGCCCCACAAAAUGCCCUUUUAUCAAUGCAAAUAUUACAGCAUUCACUUUCCGAUGUAAUCUCAAUCCCCUGCUCCCAAGGCGUCCUGCAUCCCAUUCCCAUGCAAACACUCCACUCCAUGUUCAAUACACACCUUGUUUUGCAUGCAGUAAAGGUCAAAAACAGCAAAGUAAUAGCAGCACAGAGCAGAGAUUCCAAUGCUAGUGCGGGCACUUAGCAGCUGUGCCUUCCAGGCCAACUUACUCAACUCCUCCGGUCCUUAACUUCUUCAUCUGUAACAUGAGGAAAACAAUGGUUUCUGCCUCAAAGGCUCUUAUAAGGACGAAAUGAAUGAACACGUGCAAACCCUUGAAAAAGUUCAUAGGACGAAGUAUUCUAUGUGCUUGAUUUAUUUACUAUCGUGAUCAGCAAAGUGAGCUCCAUGAUACAAACAGUGCCACAGAAUGUGUAGACAGUUCUCAUGGCUCCUUCAUCUUCCAUGAUCAGAGGUCAUUUCAAUCAGAUGUGUCUUUCAAAAUUGCCCUAUCUGUGGGCCUGUGUUGUAGCCCAGCAGGUCCAGCCACCACUGUGACACUGGCAUCCCAAAUCCGAGAGCCACUUCAAGUCCCAGCUGCCUGCUUCCCAUCCAGCUCCCUCUUGUGUGCCUGGGAAGGCAGUGGAAGAUGGCCCAGGCAUUUGGGCCCCAGUUACCCAUGUGGGAGACUAGGAUGGAGUUCCUGGUUCCUGGCUUCAGGCUGGUACAGCCCCAGCUAUUGCAGCCAUUUGAAGAAUGAACCAGAAGAUGGAAGAUGGAUCUUUCUCUCUCUCUCUCUCUCUCUCUCUCUCUCUCUCUCUCUCUGCCUUUCAAAUAAAUAAGAAUAAAUUAAAAAAAAAAACAGCAUACCCUGGCGCUGGCAUUGUGGUACAGCAGGUUAAGCCACUGCCUGCGAUUCCAGCAUCCCAUAUUGGCAUGUCCUGACUGCUCCACUUCCCAUCCAGCUCCCUGAUAAUAGCUUGGGAAAAGCAGCAGAAGUCAGCCUGAAUGCUUAGGCCCCUGCCACCCACAUGGGAGACCCAGAUGAAGCUCUGGCUUUGGCCUGGCCCAGUCCUGGCCAUUAUGGCCAUCAGCAUAUAGAAGAUAUCUCUGUCUUUCUCUGUAUCUCUGACUUUCAAACAAAUAAAAAAAAGUCUUGUUUAUUCCUUAUAUCCUUUGAAGGAGGAGGUAUGGCCUGCAAACACCUGUCCUUUUCCUUUUAACAAAUGUUUACUGAGGGUACAUGAUAUGGCAGGCACGCUCGCGUUCAGUGCAUAAGGCUGAAAUGAUCCUCUUCAUCACGGAGGGAAUGCAGUAGAAGAAUCGCACCACUGGCAGGGGAACAAGUUGAGCAAACAAGGCAGCCUCUGCCAAGUGCUUUCAGAGACUUUGUCAGAGCAGUGUCGGAGCAGAGGGAGAUAACGGGGGUACAGAGAAGAGAGAGAGGAUUUUUACAUUUCUCUCAACGUUCAGAAUGUGUGCCCAUUCCAGCAUUGUCUGUUACCCAGAGGGAUCGUGGUAAGGAUGCAAAUGCUUCCAAUUACUUUUGAACUUUGGGCACUGUUUGCUCAUACAUAGAAUGCACUCCAGAUUGGUCUAUGAGAACUCUGGGCUUUAUAUGGGCUAUAAACGGUUAUCAAGAGGAAUGUGAUGCCAGGGAGACUUAGCGAGCUUUGGAGGCAGGUAGGAAGGGGGGGGGGCUCAGAUUUGGGGAUGAAGACAGGAGCAGGUGACUUAGAGGAUGAGGAGGACGCCAUGGGAAGAGGAGAGGAUCUAGGAGAGGGGAAACGAGCUUAGGCAGGCACGUCCCAGUGUCUCCAAGUAGGAGGGCGUGGCUAGAAGACAGGGGCAGGAUGGAGCCACCCAGGUCAGAUUCCAUGGCCCUAGGAGGCACAAUAAGGGGUCUAAAUCCAGUCUGGGGCCCAUGCUGCAGCAUAAUGACAGUGGUUCAAGUCCCGGCUGCUGCACUUCCAAUCCAGCUCCCUGCUAAUGCACCUGAGAAAGCAGCAGAAGAUGGCCCAAGUACUUGGGCUCUUGUACCCAUGUAGGAGAAUCAGAAGAAGCUCCUGGCUCCUGACUUCAGCUUGGCUCAGCCCCAGCUGUUGUGGCCAUUUGGGAGUGAACCAGUGGAUGGAAGAACUCUCUCUCUCUCUCUCUCUCUGUGUGUGUGUGUGUGUGCGUGUGUGCGUGUGUGUGUGUGUGUCUUUCCCUCUCUCUCUGUAACUCUGCCUUUCAAAUACAUAAAUCUUUAGACUCCAUCCUACUCACGCCAGGGAGCCGUGAAUGCCUGUAAACAAAGAAUAGGGAUGAGUCACACGGCACUAGUCACUUGCUGGCCUGCCAAGAAUUCUAACUCUUGAGAGUGGAGUUCUCUUUACAAGGGAAAGUUGGAGACCUUAAAAAAGUUAGCAAGCAAGCAGAAGAGGGGGAAGGCACCCAGAGCCUCACAGCCAGCAGAGGUAUCUCAGACGUCCUUGCCUGCUGCCAGGCCUCCAGAGCCAGCAUGUGUUGGAACAUCACUUGACAAAACUUGCAAAUGAAAAAUCUCAUUUUCCUUUUAUUUCUAACCAUUCUUAGCAACCCCCAGUUAUCAAGCAGUUGCUUCUAAUUCUCUAGAGAGUAGCACCAACACCACGGCUGCUCCGUGAAUAAGAUGACACUUCCGUGACCCCUCUGGAAGGCCACCACCAUUGCACAGGGGAAAGACUUAAUUACAUGGGCACUGAGGUUCUGUGAGGUAGCAACAGCCUGCUUUGCAAUGCACUUUCCCUCCUCCGUCCUAUUUGUCAAGGUUUAUGGUGCUAUAUAGUCCCCAGGCGUGUAACGGAUAAGCUAAGCCACCCUGAUCCCCUUGAGAGCAAGCCACAGAGACCUGGCCCAGCUUCUGGGAGCACUGCCCUGAGGCAGACCUCAACUGGGAGCUCAGGGCUGAGGGUUGCUACAGCCUCAGAGAGCUCCCUGCCUCCUCCAGGGCCACACUCCUGCCCUUCAACCACAUCCAGCGAAUGAUGGGCAGCUGUAGGCAUACAGGGGUCCAGCCCUGGGAAAGCCUGAAGGGCUUUCUCACCACAACUCUGCAGAGGUGUCAGAAGCCCCUACAGUCAGCAUCACCCUACCUCGGUUCUCCCUUCGCUUCUGCAGGGGUUGAUCCCUGAGCCGGCCUGGAAAGGAGAUUCUAUCACAGUUCCCUGUGGUCUGUGUCUGGUCCAGGAAAUGUGCUCAGGGUGAAGACCAAGGCCUGCAUGUAUUUUGCAGGUGUGUUGCUAGCUGGACGGAAGUGGGACAUAAAGCAGGAGAAAUAAAUCUGGAGGCCUCGCUCUGGGUACCUGAGUGACUCACCCACUUACUCAGAGGCAGGACAAUUAAAAUCCGUUCACACGCAAUCGUUCUCUCUUCUUCCUCUGCCCGCCUUCCUUCCAUCGGCAUUCCUUCCCUCUUCCAACCUCAUGGGCAGGAUCUGAGAAGCCCCUACAAGACCCAGGGGCCUACCCUUGGUCUCCAAGUGGCCAGCAGUCCUACUCUCCUCUCUGUGCACACACUCCUCCCCCCGGAAGCCACUAUGGGAUAAUUCUUCAGUCACGGCAGGAGCCUCCUACUCAAAUACAUGCAUGCUACUGGGGCAAAAGGGGUCUCAGAGCAUUGGCCUAUUUUGCUACUGAAUCUUGCGUAUUCUCAAGGACCCCUUUUUCACCCUGGUUUAUUAAUACUUCAUGGGGUCAGUGCUGUGGCAUAGUAGGUUAAGCCUCCACCUGCAGUGCCGGCAUCCCAUAUGGGUGCCAGUUCGAGUCCCGGAUGCUCCGCUUCCAAUCCAGCUCCUUGCUAAUGGCCUAGGAAAGCAGUGGAAGAUGGCUUAAGGGCUUGGGCCCCCGCACUCACAUUGGAGACCUGGAAGAAGCUCCUGGCUCCCGGUUUUGGAACGGCUCAGCUUCUGCCAUUGUGGCCAUCUGGGGAGUGAACCAGUGGAUGGAAGACCUCUCUGUCUCGCCCUCUCUCUCUGUAACUCUGCCUUUCAAAUAAAUAAAUAUUUUUUUAAAGUAGCAGUUCACAUGGAGUGAAGCAGACUUGGCUGAGAGCAGAUGGCUUUGCAAGUUUCAAUGAGACUGGGGCACAGAACGUCAGCCCCAAGGUCCAGCUUUUCUGGGGUGGCUUCUGCUCUUGGGGUGUGUGUUGGUGAGGAAGAAAACACCACCCCAAGAGGAGGGGAUGCCCCAGACUGGGGUACCCAGAAAAAACUCCACCUCUUCCCAGUUUUCUCUGCUGUGAUUUACCAAAGAAACUGUCCACUGGCAGAGCAAAAGGACACCCUGCCUACCCCGCCUCGGCAACCUUUGGGCGACAUUUUUUAUGCUUAUAUGGCCCAUAUUGUGGUUGAUCCUUUCCUUCGGAACACCCUUCCCCUCCCUCCAUCUGGGCACCCACUUGUCUGCAGGCUCCUUUUCCAGCCCGACUGGCCUCUGGAGGCCUCUCUUUGCUCUUGUCGUUGGACACAUUUCCUGAUGAAAUGCAAUGCUGAACAAGUGUAGAAGCAGCGAGGAUGAUGCAAACAUACAAUGUGAGCAUGACCAGGAGAGUUUCCCCUCGCUCAGGCCAAACAAGGCAAGAGGAAGCAGUGCAUCCCGGGAAGCCGGCCUGCUCAAACCCCCUUUCCCAGCCUGUGGUCAACAGGACCCCCAAAUUCCAGAGCCCUCUGUACUUGUCCACACGCUGUGUGCUUUGGUGUCACCCACCCUAUCAUGUGUUCCCAGUGCCAGUGUGACUUAGCUAACCUGUGAGUCCCUGGAAAUAAAGAAUGUAUAUUUUCAGUCUCUACUAUAAUUUCAUGGAGCUUUAGGUAGAAGACUCUCAAGGAGGUAAAACUAUGUGGUUAUUUUAAGAUUUAUUUAUUUGAAAGGCAGAGUUACACACACACACAGAGAGAGAGAGA